RNAcentral lists this ribosomal RNA (253 nucleotides) under uncultured bacterium. RNAcentral describes it as "partial 16S ribosomal RNA". It matches the Rfam family "Bacterial small subunit ribosomal RNA", at positions 524 to 776 of the family's 1533-position model. The record is from RNAcentral.
UACGUAGGAGGCAAGCGUUGUCCGGAAUCAUUGGGCGUAAAGAGCGCGUAGGCGGUCCGGUAAGUCCGCUGUGAAAGUCAAGGGCUCAACCCUUGAAUGCCGGUGGAUACUGUCGGGCUAGAGUCCGGAAGAGGCGAGUGGAAUUCCUGGUGUAGCGGUGAAAUGCGCAGAUAUCAGGAGGAACACCGAUGGCGAAGGCAGCUCGCUGGGACGGUACUGACGCUGAGGCGCGAAAGCGUGGGGAGCAAACAGG